CGCCGGGUCGGCGGAGUACUCACAUAAAUUACCUAUCCACAGUUAAAGCAGAUACAGGCCUGUUGCUUGAAGCAUCUGUACUGCACUUGAGCAAAUUGGGUCUGUAGCUCAGUUGGUUAGAGCGCACCCCUGAUAAGGGUGAGGUCGGAGGUUCAAAUCCUCCCAGACCCACCAGAUUGGAGUUCAGGGGCCAUAGCUCAGCUGGGAGAGCGCCUGCCUUGCACGCAGGAGGUCGGCGGUUCGAUCCCGCCUGGCUCCACCAAAUUCAUGAGUGGGAAGUGUCUAGCGAGAAGGCUAGCCACUUUGCAUUUGCGAAGUCUGCUCUUUAAAAAUUAGGUUAGAUCGCUGAUAGGUGAUAUCGAAAGAUAUCCUUAUCAAUUAAGUAUCUAAGUUUCUCAAGGCUUAGAUACUGGGUAUGUUGCAUUCGUAACCAUUGAUUGUAUCCCAGAAUUUUUGGGGUUGUAUGGUCAAGUGAGUAAGCGCAUACGG
RNAcentral lists this transfer RNA (489 nucleotides) under endosymbiont of Vestimentiferan tubeworm. RNAcentral's name for it is "partial 16S-23S intergenic spacer". The stretch from base 98 to 171 matches the Rfam family "tRNA". The record is from RNAcentral.